Molecule: non-coding RNA, 1024 nt
Organism: Drosophila melanogaster (fruit fly)
Lineage: Eukaryota; Metazoa; Arthropoda; Insecta; Diptera; Drosophilidae
Source: Ensembl
UCAUUGGAUUACUAGCCAUUCCUCUUCGGCAUUAUCUUGGCUGAGCAGCUCGACGACGUAGAAGAAACAGCUGAGUCAAGGAGCAAUGGUGCAACAACUUUGCCGGAUAGAACCACGUUGGUUGCAACAUGAUCGAUAACCAAGGACUUUUCAUCUCACCACUGCAGUGGUGAGUGCACUGGGUAUUUCCCAAGUUCCUGCGAUUGCCCUUUGAUGUUGUCCCUGAUUUUACCGUGUACACAUUGUGUACUGCACAACUUGCCCCACGGGUUAUUAAGCUAUUCAACUUGAGAGGACAACUCAAGAUAUCUUAACUGUCCACCAAUAAUAUCAUUUCUUAAACGUAAUCCUUUUCCUUCACACCUUGAACAGAUAUUCCACUCCAGAUUUACGAUAGCUGCUUCGGCUGUAACAAUUUGCGGAAAUUAGCCAAGGUGUUUUAUGGUCAUCACCAUCGACUCACCCUCUGUCCACUAUUACACUCAUCGGAUAAAGGAGCCGUGGCACUGCGAAGUGGAUUGUUGUCCGGCAACGUGGAAAUGUUUACUUUUUCUUCGGUUUGCUUUUCCAACACUCUGUACCGAACGAUGAGCUGCCUUUGGGGGCUUUUUAAUUGAGGUCUAAGCUGUAAUUAAGCAGCUCGGCCUUUUGCCAUGUGCUCUAAUUCUAUUUUUGCAGUUUAAUGAAGUCCUUGGCUGCAGGACGUUCCUCUGUCCGUCGCUUCUUUCGUCCUUUCGUUACCUGUCACCUGGGCAAAUUGGUUGGCAUUAUUCAUUCACUGUCCUUUAAAGCUCUGGCUAAGGCCAGAUCUGGCCUGCCACCCAGCCGUUGUUCUGACCCGGCUUAAAUGCCAAUAUAUCACUGGCUAACAACGCUGGUUUCCGUCUGCAGGAUUUUAGCUCAAACGGGGCUAAUAUACAGUUUUGGAUGAAGAAAUACAUAAUGCAAACAUACAUAUUUUUAACAUUUUUUGGUUGCUGAGAAAUAUGUAUUAUAAUUAUGAUUAAAAAUGUUUUUGUUGAAU